RNAcentral lists this long non-coding RNA (2088 nucleotides) under Haliotis rubra (blacklip abalone). RNAcentral describes it as "uncharacterized LOC124264970". Lineage: Eukaryota; Metazoa; Mollusca; Gastropoda; Lepetellida; Haliotidae. The record is from RNAcentral.
CGAUAAGGGUCCGGUUACAAACUGCCUCACAGAUAUGAUGCUGGUUGCAAACUGCCUCUCAGAUAAGGGGCUUGUUGCAAAUUGCCACUCAGAUAAGGGUCCGGUUGCAACCUGCCACUCAGAUAAGGGUCCGGUUGCAAACUGCCACUAAGAUAAGGUGCUGGUUGCAAACUGUCACUAAGAUAAGGGUCCGGAUGCAAACUGCCACUCAGAUAAGGGGCUGGCUGCAAAUUGCCGCUCAGAUAAGGGUCCAGUUGCAAACUGCCACUCAGAUAAGGGUCUGGAUGCAAACUGCCACUCAGAUAAGGGUCCGGAUGCAAACUGCCACUCAGAUAAGGGUCCGGUUGCAAACUGCCACUAAGAUAAGGGUCCACUUGCAAACUGCCACUCAGAUAAGGUGCUGGUCGCAAAAUGCCGCUCAGAUAAGGGUCCAGUUGCAAAGUGCCACUUAGAUAAGGGGCUGGGUGCAAACUGCCACUGAUAAAAGGAUCCGGUUGGAAACUGCCACUCAGAUAAGGGUCCGGAUGCAAACUGCCCUUCAGAUAAGGUGAUGGUUGCAAACUGCCUCUCAGAUAAGGGUCCGGAUGCAAACUGCCACACAGAUAUGAUGCCUGUUGCAAACUGCCACUCAAAUAAAGGGCUUGUUGCAAAUUGCCACUCAGAUAAGGGUCCGGUUGCAACCUGCCACUCAGAUAAGGUACUGGUUGCAAACUGCCACUCAGAUAAGAGUCCGGAUGCAAACUGCCUCUCAGAUAAGGGUCCAGUUGCAAACUGCCACUCAGAUAAGGGUCCGGUUGCAAACUGCCACUCAGAUAGGGGUCCGGUUGCAAACUGCCUCUCAGAUGAGGGUCCGGUUACAAACUGCCACUCAGAUAAGGGUCCGGUUGCAAACUGCUACUCAGAUAAGGUGCUGGUUGCAAACUGCCGCUCAGAUGAGGUGCUGGUUGCAAACUGCCUCUCAGAUAAGGGUCCAGUUGCAAACUGCCACUCAGAUAAGGGUCCGGUUGCAAACUGCCGCUCAGAUAGGGGUCCGGUUGCAAACUGCCACUCAGAUAAGGUGCUGGUUGCAAACUGCCACUCAGAUAAGGGUCUGGUUGCAAACUGCCACUCAGAUAGGGGUCCGGUUGCAAACUGCCACUCAGAUAAGUUUCCGGUUGCAAACUGCCUCUCAGAUAGGGUCCGGUUGCAAACUGCCACUCAGAUAAGGUGCUGGUUGCAAACUGCCACUCAGAUAAGGGUCUGGUUGCAAACUGCCACUCAGAUAGGGGUCCGGUUGCACACUGCCACUCAGAUAAGGUGCUGGUUGCAAACUGCCACUCAGAUGAGGUGCUGGUUGUAAACUGCCACUCAGAUAAGGGUCUGGUUGCAAACUGCCUCUCAGAUGAGGGUCCGGUUACAAACUGCCACUCAGAUAAGGGUCCGGUUGCAAACUGCCACUCAGAUAAAAGGGGUCGGUUGCAAACUGCCACUCAGAUAAAAGGGGUCGGUUACAACAGGCACUAGCGAUGGUCCAGACUCGUCUGCACUAAUGACAUUUGAGUCCCUCUGUCAUCUUACAUCUUGAUGUACAUCAUUAGCGUCAGAGGCGUCACUGGUGUAGGAAACGUCAGCUUCGACGUUGGGAUAGUCGACGUCGGGCUACUGUCAUGUUUUCUGGCAAACCGAGGUUCCAUUUCGCCUUCCGUAUGCGAAGUAAUCAGGUUUGGACACGUCCUAUAUAUAGAUCGUUUUAGGCGGUUGGCCAUUAAUGGUUCGGGGUGGUAUCUCAUAGACUUGCCGAACUGUGGUCCAUACUGCCCAUGGCAGCGUCACAGAUGAAUACCAUGAGAACAUUGUGGUGCCAUUUGCACAGGGUGUUGGAUAACGUCAUGGCAGACGUGUGCGUCAACGUUAAAAUCCACCUACCACUUUCAAUAAACUCGGUAGUGCUUUCACCAAUGAGUGGAAAAACAUGAGUAAGUGUGCCACUGGUGGACUAAUCCGAAGCAUGCCUUCAACAAUUUGCGAUUGUCUGGCUAACGAAAGUGUUUUCAGUGACAAUGACUUAAAAAUGCAAAUUCCUAAUUAGACCAGCGACCUCUUUAACGG